This 554-nucleotide ribosomal RNA is filed under the name Ceratobasidium sp. RNAcentral's name for it is "eukaryotic LSU rRNA". It matches the Rfam family "Eukaryotic large subunit ribosomal RNA", at positions 60 to 616 of the family's 3401-position model. The record is from RNAcentral. Lineage: Eukaryota; Fungi; Basidiomycota; Agaricomycetes; Cantharellales; Ceratobasidiaceae.
AGAAACUAACAAGGAUUCCCCUAGUAACGGCGAGUGAAGCGGGAAGAGCUCAAAUUUAAAAUCUGGCAGUGUAUUCUGUCCGAGUUGUAGUCUAGAGAAGCAUCAUCCGUGCUGGACCAUGUACAAGUCUCUUGGAACAGAGCGUCAUAGAGGGUGAGAAUCCCGUCCUUGACAUGGACUGCCAGUACUUUGUGUUGUGCUCUCAACGAGUCGAGUUGUUUGGGAAUGCAGCUCAAAAUGGGUGGUAAAUUCCAUCUAAAGCUAAAUAUUGGCGAGAGACCGAUAGCGAACAAGUACCGUGAGGGAAAGAUGAAAAGCACUUUGGAGAGAGAGUUAAACAGUACGUGAAAUUGUUGAAAUGGAAACGCUUGAAGUCAGUCGCGUUCUCUGGGAUUCAGCCUUGCUUUUGCUUGGUGCAUUUCCUAGUCUACGGGCCAGCAUGAAUUUUGACCAAUGGAAAAAGAUUUGGGGAAUGUGGCACCUUCGGGUGUGUUAUAGCCCCUUGUCAGAUACAUUGGUUGGGAUUGAGGUCUUAGUGCACGCUUCGGUUGUGC